GUCACUGGAUCCAUUCAUGUUCAAUGAUAUAUCGUAUGAGUGUUCAUGGGUAGUUUGAUACAUCUUCUAAUAUGUAUAAGAUCCAGCAAUCUUAUAUGUGAACUUCACUUCCGUCUUCAACCUUGUCUGGAGGUGAACCCUCACCCGGAGUUACAGCUGCUUCCCAAAGACGACUCCUCCAUUUGGAGAGCCCUGCUGUUUGCAUCCAUCUGACCUCUGGGUGGGCUUGAGCAUUGAAGCUGGAAUGCUGCCUGACUGCUCUGCGCAGCUGAGUUAAAACUUGAAGUGACACCAAGAGUUCCUGCCCCAGUUAAAGAAAAAUCCACUUCAUAGUUAAGAGGAUAAUCGACAAUUUGUCCUUUUGCAAAGAAAGGGGCCUGUGGUUUUCCAGGAAGCUCCCACAG
Molecule: long non-coding RNA, 404 nt
Organism: Lacerta agilis (Sand lizard)
Lineage: Eukaryota; Metazoa; Chordata; Lepidosauria; Squamata; Lacertidae
Exons: 4
Source: RefSeq, a predicted model, not a curated record